GAGUGCUUCGGCACUUAGUGGCGGACGGGUGAGUAACGCGUGAGAAUCUGGCUUCGGGUUCGGGACAACAGUGGGAAACUGCUGCUAAUACCGGAUGUGCCUAAGGGUAAAAGAUUAAUUGCCCGAAGAUGAGCUCGCGUCCGAUUAGCUAGUUGGUGUGGUAAGAGCGCACCAAGGCGUCGAUCGGUAGCUGGUCUGAGAGGACGAUCAGCCACACUGGGACUGAGACACGGCCCAGACUCCUACGGGAGGCAGCAGUGGGGAAUUUUCCGCAAUGGGCGAAAGCCUGACGGAGCAAUACCGCGUGAGGGAGGAAGGCUCUUGGGUUGUAAACCUCUUUUCUCAGGGAAGAACACAAUGACGGUACCUGAGGAAUCAGCAUCGGCUAACUCCGUGCCAGCAGCCGCGGUAAUACGGAGGAUGCAAGCGUUAUCCGGAAUGAUUGGGCGUAAAGCGUCCGCAGGUGGCUUAUCAAGUCUGCUGUCAAAGCUCAGGGCUUAACCCUGAAUCGGCGGUGGAAACUGAAAAGCUAGAGUGUGGUAGGGGUAGAGGGAAUUCCCAGUGUAGCGGUGAAAUGCGUAGAGAUUGGGAAGAACACCAGUGGCGAAAGCGCUCUGCUAGACCGCAACUGACACUCAUGGACGAAAGCUAGGGGAGCGAAUGGGAUUAGAUACCCCAGUAGUCCUAGCCGUAAACGAUGGAUACUAG
This 708-nucleotide ribosomal RNA is filed under the name uncultured cyanobacterium. Its description in RNAcentral is "bacterial SSU rRNA". It matches the Rfam family "Bacterial small subunit ribosomal RNA", at positions 69 to 819 of the family's 1533-position model. Lineage: Bacteria; Bacillati; Cyanobacteriota. The record is from RNAcentral.